UACGUAGGGUGCGAGCGUUAAUCGGAAUUACUGGGCGUAAAGCGUGCGCAGGCGGUGGCUCAAGUCAGAUGUGAAAGCCCCGGGCUUAACCUGGGAAUUGCGUUUGAAACUGAGUAGCUAGAGUUUAGCAGAGGGGGGUAGAAUUCCACGUGUAGCAGUGAAAUGCGUAGAGAUGUGGAGGAACACCGAUGGCGAAGGCAGCCCCCUGGGCUAGAACUGACGCUCAGGCACGAAAGCGUGGGGAGCAAACAGG
RNAcentral lists this ribosomal RNA (253 nucleotides) under uncultured bacterium. Its description in RNAcentral is "partial 16S ribosomal RNA". It matches the Rfam family "Bacterial small subunit ribosomal RNA", at positions 524 to 776 of the family's 1533-position model. The record is from RNAcentral.